CAUGGUUGUCGUCAGCUCGUGUCGUGAGAUGUUGGUUAAGUCCCGCAACGAGCGCAACCCCUAUUGUUAGUUGCCAUCAUUCAGUUGGGCACUCUAGCGAGACUGCCGGUAAUAAACCGGAGGAAGGUGGGGAUGACGUCAAAUCAUCAUGCCCCUUAUGACCUGGGCUACACACGUGCUACAAUGGUUGGUACAACGAGUUGCGAGUCGGUGACGGCGAGCUAAUCUCUUAAAGCCAAUCUCAGUUCGGAUUGUAGGCUGCAACUCGCCUACAUGAAGUCGGAAUCGCUAGUAAUCGCGGAUCAGCACGCCGCGGUGAAUACGUUCCCGGGCCUU
RNAcentral lists this ribosomal RNA (336 nucleotides) under uncultured Streptococcus sp. Its description in RNAcentral is "bacterial SSU rRNA". It matches the Rfam family "Bacterial small subunit ribosomal RNA", at positions 1044 to 1382 of the family's 1533-position model. The record is from RNAcentral. Lineage: Bacteria; Bacillati; Bacillota; Bacilli; Lactobacillales; Streptococcaceae.